This 253-nucleotide ribosomal RNA is filed under the name uncultured bacterium. Its description in RNAcentral is "partial 16S ribosomal RNA". It matches the Rfam family "Bacterial small subunit ribosomal RNA", at positions 524 to 776 of the family's 1533-position model. The record is from RNAcentral.
UACGAAGGGGGCUAGCGUUGCUCGGAAUCACUGGGCGUAAAGCGCACGUAGGCGGAUCGUUAAGUCAGGGGUGAAAUCCUGGAGCUCAACUCCAGAACUGCCUUUGAUACUGGCGACCUUGAGUUCGGGAGAGGUGAGUGGAACUGCGAGUGUAGAGGUGAAAUUCGUAGAUAUUCGGAAGAACACCAAUAGCGAAGGCAGCUCGCUGGGACGUUACUGACACUGAGGCGCGAAAGCGUGGGGAGCGAACAGG